RNAcentral lists this non-coding RNA (28 nucleotides) under Drosophila melanogaster (fruit fly). Lineage: Eukaryota; Metazoa; Arthropoda; Insecta; Diptera; Drosophilidae. RNAcentral also lists the same sequence under 1 other name. The record is from RNAcentral.
UGUUUUUUUUUUUUUUUUUUUUUUUUUU